AGAUUGAACGCUGGCGGCAGGCCUAACACAUGCAAGUCGAGCGGCAGCACGGGUACUUGUACCUGGUGGCGAGCGGCGGACGGGUGAGUAAUGCCUAGGAAUCUGCCUGGUAGUGGGGGAUAACGCUCGGAAACGGACGCUAAUACCGCAUACGUCCUACGGGAGAAAGCAGGGGACCUUCGGGCCUUGCGCUAUCAGAUGAGCCUAGGUCGGAUUAGCUAGUUGGUGAGGUAAUGGCUCACCAAGGCGACGAUCCGUAACUGGUCUGAGAGGAUGAUCAGUCACACUGGAACUGAGACACGGUCCAGACUCCUACGGGAGGCAGCAGUGGGAAUAUUGGACAAUGGGCGAAAGCCUGAUCCAGCCAUGCCGCGUGUGUGAAGAAGGUCUUCGGAUUGUAAAGCAACUUUAAGUUGAGAGGAAGGCAGUUACCUAAUACGUAUCUGUUUGACGUUACCGACAGAAUAAGCAACCGGCUAACUCUGUG
Molecule: ribosomal RNA, 487 nt
Filed under: uncultured soil bacterium
Lineage: Bacteria
Description: bacterial SSU rRNA
Rfam family: Bacterial small subunit ribosomal RNA
Source: RNAcentral